UACAGAGGUGGCAAGCGUUGUUCGGAAUUACUGGGCGUAAAGGGCGCGUAGGCGGCCUUCUAAGUCAGACGUGAAAUCCCCCGGCUUAACCUGGGAACUGCGUCUGAUACUGGAAGGCUUGAAUGCGGGAGAGGGAUGUAGAAUUCCAGGUGUAGCGGUGAAAUGCGUAGAUAUCUGGAGGAAUACCGGUGGCGAAGGCGGCAUCCUGGACCGACAUUGACGCUGAGGCGCGAAAGCUAGGGUAGCAAACGGG
This 253-nucleotide ribosomal RNA is filed under the name uncultured bacterium. RNAcentral's name for it is "partial 16S ribosomal RNA". It matches the Rfam family "Bacterial small subunit ribosomal RNA", at positions 524 to 776 of the family's 1533-position model. The record is from RNAcentral.